Long non-coding RNA from Tribolium castaneum (red flour beetle), 303 nucleotides. RefSeq lists it as uncharacterized. NCBI's taxonomy places the organism in Eukaryota, Metazoa, Arthropoda, Insecta, Coleoptera, Tenebrionidae. The record is from RefSeq and is a predicted model, not a curated record. The transcript is spliced from 3 exons.
AGUUUCAUUUUCAUUGCUGCUUAUCAGGAGCCGAAAAUUGCACUCCUGUAAUAAUUGUUGUUUUUUAAUAAAAAUGGGAGCCGCACAGUCGAUCCCGCCAGAAAAUAAAGUGAAAAGAAUCAAGACAAUAAAAUUUUAUUUGCAAGACAAUGAACAUUCCGUCAAAACUGAAACCGUGUCACCCCUUCGACAUCCUUAAACGAAUACGUUCGAAACUAUUUAAACCUCACAGGCACUAAAGGGAUGUGUUACGAGGGUGGCUGUAGAGCUUGUGUUGUCGUUUUACAAAACACAGACCCGAUU